UGGGACAUAGCUUAGUGGUAAAGCACUUGCCUAAUAUGCAUGAAACCCUGGGUUUGGUCCCUAGUACCCUGA
This 72-nucleotide transfer RNA is filed under the name Dipodomys ordii (Ord's kangaroo rat). It matches the Rfam family "tRNA". Rfam says of the family: Transfer RNA (tRNA) molecules are approximately 80 nucleotides in length. Their secondary structure includes four short double-helical elements and three loops (D, anti-codon, and T loops). The record is from Rfam by way of RNAcentral. Lineage: Eukaryota; Metazoa; Chordata; Mammalia; Rodentia; Heteromyidae.